AGAGUUUGAUCAUGGCUCAGAUUGAACGCUGGCGGAAUGCUUUACACAUGCAAGUCGAACGGUAGAGGGGGCAACCCCUCGAGAGUGGCGAACGGGUGAGUAAUAUAUCGGAACGUGCCCAGUCGUGGGGGAUAACGUAGCGAAAGUUACGCUAAUACCGCAUACGAUCUACGGAUGAAAGCGGGGGAUCGCAAGACCUCGCGCGAUUGGAGCGGCCGAUAUCAGAUUAGGUAGUUGGUGGGGUAAAGGCUCACCAAGCCAACGAUCUGUAGCUGGUCUGAGAGGACGACCAGCCACACUGGAACUGAGACACGGUCCAGACCCCUACGGGAGGCAGCAGUGGGGAAUUUUGGACAAUGGACGCAAGUCUGAUCCAGCCAUUCCGCGUGCAGGAUGAAGGCCCUCGGGUUGUAAACUGCUUUUGUACGGAACGAAAAGGUUUCCAUUAAUACUGGGAGCUCAUGACGGUACCGUAAGAAUAAGCACCGGCUAACUACGUGCCAGCAGCCGCGGUAAUACGUAGGGUGCAAGCGUUAAUCGGAAUUACUGGGCGUAAAGCGUGCGCAGGCGGUUAUGUAAGACAGAGGUGAAAUCCCCGGGCUCAACCUGGGAACUGCCUUUGUGACUGCAUAGCUAGAGUACGGUAGAGGGGGAUGGAAUUCCGCGUGUAGCAGUGAAAUGCGUAGAUAUGCGGAGGAACACCGAUGGCGAAGGCAAUCCCCUGGACCUGUACUGACGCUCAUGCACGAAAGCGUGGGGAGCAAACAGGAUUAGAUACCCUGGUAGUCCACGCCCUAAACGAUGUCAACUGGUUGUUGGGUCUUCACUGACUCAGUAACGAAGCUAACGCGUGAAGUUGACCGCCUGGGG
Molecule: ribosomal RNA, 870 nt
Filed under: uncultured Limnohabitans sp.
Lineage: Bacteria; Pseudomonadati; Pseudomonadota; Betaproteobacteria; Burkholderiales; Comamonadaceae
Description: bacterial SSU rRNA
Rfam family: Bacterial small subunit ribosomal RNA
Source: RNAcentral